RNAcentral lists this ribosomal RNA (334 nucleotides) under uncultured bacterium. RNAcentral's name for it is "partial 16S ribosomal RNA". It matches the Rfam family "Bacterial small subunit ribosomal RNA", at positions 338 to 669 of the family's 1533-position model. The record is from RNAcentral.
CCUACGGGAGGCAGCAGUGAGGAAUAGUGGUCAAUGGGCGCGAGCCUGAACCAGCCAAGUAGCGUGAAGGAUGACUGCCCUACGGGUUGUAAACUUCGGUUAUAAAGGAAUAAAGUGAGGCACGUGUGCAUUUGUGUAUGUACUUUAUGAAUAAGGAUCGGCUAACUCCGUGCCAGCAGCCGCGGUAAUACGGAGGAUCCGAGCGUUAUCCGGAUUUAUUGGGGUUAAAGGGAGCGUAGAUGGGUUGUUAAGUCAGUUGUGAAAGUUUGCGGCUCAACCGGAAAAUUGCCAUUGAUACUGGCAGUCUUGCGUACAGUUGAGGUAGGCGGACUUC